CCCGGCACAAGCGGUGGAGCAUGUGGUUUAAUUCGAUGAUACGCGAGGAACCUUACCUGGGCUCAAAUGUAUGUUGACGUAUUCUGAAAGGGAUACUUCUUCGGACAAUAUACAAGGUGCUGCACGGUUGUCGUCAGCUCGUGCCGUGAGGUGUCGGGUUAAGUCCCAUAACGAGCGCAACCCCUAUCAUUAGUUGCCAUCAGGUCAAGCUGGGGACUCUAAUGAAACUGCCUACGCAAGUAGUGAGGAAGGUGGGGAUGACGUCAAAUCAGCACGGCCCUUACGUCCAGGGCUACACACGUGCUACAAUGGCCGGCACAGCGGGAAGCGAGGCAGUGAUGCCAAGCGGAUCCCUUAAAGCCGGUCUCAGUUCGGAUUGAAGUCUGCAACUCGACUUCAUGAAGCUGGAAUCGCUAGUAAUCGCAGAUCAGCCAAGCUGCGGUGAAUACGUUCCCGGGCCUU
This 462-nucleotide ribosomal RNA is filed under the name uncultured Sphingobacteriales bacterium. Its description in RNAcentral is "bacterial SSU rRNA". It matches the Rfam family "Bacterial small subunit ribosomal RNA", at positions 920 to 1382 of the family's 1533-position model. The record is from RNAcentral. Lineage: Bacteria; Pseudomonadati; Bacteroidota; Sphingobacteriia; Sphingobacteriales.